Long non-coding RNA from Dermochelys coriacea (leatherback sea turtle), 4056 nucleotides. RefSeq lists it as uncharacterized. NCBI's taxonomy places the organism in Eukaryota, Metazoa, Chordata, Testudines, Dermochelyidae. The transcript has 3 exons. The record is from RefSeq and is a predicted model, not a curated record.
ACCCGCGCCGCGUGGGGUGAGCGCGCGGCGAGGUCGCUGGGCGCGGCGCCUGCGCGCGGCUGGCCGCGUUGUUCCCUGGUGGGACGCCGCCGAUCCAAAGCCCCAAGGCUCCCGCUGGCUCCGGCCGUGCAGCGGGCUCUCCGGUGGCGGUGCAGGUCGUUCCCGGCGACGUGGUAAAAAAAAAUUAAAAAGAAGUCUUGAUAAUGGAAUUAUCCCCACUGUAGACUCUUGGCCAGCUGAAGACUCUUGGCCAGCUGAUGGUCUGGCUAUGAGUGAAUUUUCAGAUCCAGUCCAGUCCAGUGUCAGGCAACAUACACACCAUUAUGAAGAUGCCAUAAUCUGUUCUUGGUUUAAAAGCUCUGGCUACUGCAAGCCAUUCAGGUACAAGUGACUUUCCACUUCAGGGCCUUUGUUGUCAGAAGCUUGGCCUUAUCAACUGGGAAAUGCAUUCUCGGCUUCAGAAGAACAAGUUUUACAAAACACUACGCAGUUCCAGCAACGAGUGGGAAAAAUGUGAGAAACGUAGCAUACAUGUGGAUACACAACUCACCUUUAUUAGCAAAAUCUGUUCAGACAGUGUGAUAUUCCCUCAUGGAGCAAUCUGCAUGGUACUUGUUGGGAGAAGCACAGGUUGCAGGAAGGAUGAGUUUGGAGGAGGCACCAGGAAGUCAGUUAGUUUGCACAUGGCUGAAAUGCUAGCUGUAAUUGCAAGAUCUCUGUAAAUAGUUCUAUUAAUAGCCAGUUUAGUUUUAGAAACAGGGUGUCCUCUCAUGUUAUUACCCAGCACUUGGUUCAUGGAACACUUCCCACUUCCAUUAUUUAUGCAUUUAUUUCUUCUGCAUUGAUCAACAAUCUCUAACCAAACAUUACAAAAUGUCAUCUCCAGGACCCAGUGCAACUCUCAGCCCUUAGUCUGAAAACAACUGGUAGCAGAGAUGAGCUUUGCAGCAUGCACUGAAAAUCCAGAAACCUGGGCUCUGGUGGGUCAAAGAAGGAAUUCAGUUCCUGAGCCAAGUGGAGAGGUGGUCGCUGAAACAGGCAGGGCCUUAAUCAUAUAAUGUUUUAUGAGAUAAAGGUAACCGUUUAAAUUUCAUUCAGAUAUCAUCGGGUUGACAGUGCAGAUCAUAGAGCUCCAGUGUAAUGUGCUCCCUGCGGGAAACGCUGCUAGUAGGUAGACUGGGAAAGAACAUUGCUUCGCAAGAGAGCCACCUCCUUCUGCACUAGCUGAAGGUUCCAAAUGAUCUUGAGUUAUGGCAGCCAUGUAGCAACCCACUAUAAUAAUCCAAUCUGGAGGUGACAAAAGCAUGGAUGACCCACUAGGGAUCUCUAGGAUACAGGGAUGCCUGGCCGUACCCACUUUUUUCCAGGCCAAGCUCACUGCACCACUAGGUGGAAGGGAACAGGUGUAGGAGCUAUUCUGUUGUCUCUAUGCCCCUGAAGGAUUCCCCUUCACAAAAGAAAUCUUCAUGCGGGCUUUGUAGCACUGGAGGAUCUGGUUCAGUGGGUGCGUGCUGAUCUUUUGUCAUAAAUAUAUCAUUUUUUUGAGCCUGGUUUUGUAAUUCGUACAUGCACAGAACUCGCAUUGAAAUCCGUAGGAGUUCCCUUUGUGCAGAUCAUGCAUGAUUGGGCCCCUGUAUUUCAUAAAACUUUCUGAAUGCAGACUGAAUUUCUUCCUCCUGUAUUCAUUGUUGUAUUACCUCACUUUAACAGGAACGACAGUCAGCUUGAUAAAUGGAUUAAAAGGUCACUGGUUUCCCUGUUGCUCCUAGACUUUCACACUGGAGCAUACUUGUAAAAAGAUAACAUUUAUACAAAAAGCAAUUUCUUGGCUGGUUGUUUCCUGUAUUCCCAUCAGUAUCACUGAAGAUAUUUAUGUCUCCAUAUCAAUCCAAUUUUUCUUGCUUGAUUCUGCACUGCAGUCACAGUGUUUAUAUUAGUCUGUUGCUGUGAAAAUUAAUGUGACAACACAAAAUGCAGCAUUGUGACUAAAGGUGUGUAACAUACUCCUAGAGAAAUGAAAUAUUACUUGAAAUUCAUGGCAAUAUUCCCCACCACACACACACCUCCACCCUGUUCCAAAUCUGAUGGGACAAUUUUCAAAAGGGUCUAUAUUUUCCAAGCAAAAAAUGGGCACUAUUUUUGUUGGAAAUUGGCAAUUUCUUGAGCAGAUCCAGUCUCAUUUGCAAAUGAAAGUAACUCUACUUUCCACAUUGGAAACACAUGGAAAUUCAUAUUUUGAGAACUCUUGCAGAACAAAAAUAGACUCUGUCUCUGUUUUUUGCACUAGUGUGGAUACACCAGUGUAGAUGUGAUGCACUGGUGCAUGAUGGGAACUCUAUUAGUGUGACUUAUCCUAGUGAUUACUGGGGUAAAUUAGACAUUUGCCAUGGUGAAACAGUUUUGAUGUUGCUACAUUACAAGUUGCCCUAGUCUCAACAAGUCCAUAGCCAUGUCAAAAUUACAAAUAAAGGUCAAAUGGUGGGGACAAAACGGUGCAAACAUUACAAAAUUUCACACAAGGUCCCAUGAAAUUGGUGAUAGCACACAGCACUAACUCUGGCUCCAGUGAAGGUUUCACCAGGAGACAAUGGACUGAGAGGCAAAAAAUCCUUUAUUUAAAUACAAAUGUUGCAAGAAAAACAGGAAAAAAAUUAUAGCCAGAGUGAAAGCUAAGUGAUCUGGGGCCAGAUUUCCAGAGAGGUGGCUUGUCUUUUAGGGAUGCCAUUUGCUCUUGCUGGAUUUAUCCCUGCAUUCUUGGACCUGCCAUUGAAUUGUGGAUGCAAAUCUAGUUGCAUUUCUGCUGGCAGAAAUCUGAUUGAAGAUGCAAGUCAGUGGUGUAAGUACUCAGACUUGCCUGCAGAAUUCCAUAUGCGGAUGACAGUUUUGCAGGUUCAUUUUCCAUCUGCAGAGGGAGGGCAGGCCUCACCCCUUUGGGAAAUGUACUCCCUUUCAGCGUAUGUCUGACAGGUUUCACAUUUUCCCCCCAGUUCUUGAAAUGGAUGGGGCAGAUUCUUGAGCCUCUUACUGCCUUGAGUAAUCCCAUUGACUCCAAUGGGGCUAUUUGCAAAAGGAAUGGUUGCAAGACCAGAGGUACAAAUUUCAAAAGCAGCUACAAUUCCAUUGGUAUAAGGGAUUGAAGCACUUAGCUGCCUAAGUCCCAGGCCAGGUCUACUCUAGGUAUACUUUGCCGGUAUAGCCAUACUGGUAUACUAGCACUCCUAGUGUGGACAAAGCUUAUACCAGCAAAACUGCAUGUUUGCCAAUACAGGUUAUUUCAUUCCCCAUGAGCUAAAUGAGUUAUGCAGAAAAAGUGCAGUUUUGCUGGUAUAGCUACACCUAUACCAGCUGGCUUUUGCCAGCACAGUUGUGUCCAUCAGGAAUCUGACCUCUUCACAUCCUUGACCAACAUGGCUAUAGACAGCAGAAGUCUGUAGUAGCCCCACUGACACUUCAGAUUGCUUUUUCAUGGCAAAUUCUCUCACAGUCCUGUGGGUUUGUGCCAUGAGAUAUCUUUUUACUCAAACAUUUUAACUCGAUUUACACCUAUCCCUGCCACUAAUUGACUUUAUUUUCUGAGUGAUGGCUUUAACACACCAUUUGUUUUGUAUUGUGGUACUACUCCUUUUAGAAGUCAGUGCUUUCUACAGCAGAGGUAGUGUUAUGGAAAAGAAAGAACCAACUUUCCAGAUUCCAAAUCCUCACAGGCAUUGUAUUCCUUAAGAUAGGCAGCUAGAAUAUAUUUUCUCAUUACUGACAAAAAGAUAGAGGUGUUCUUUUGUGAGCACGAGGCAUCAAGUAAUUUGUAGCAGGCAUGAAUUAUUGCAGUGACUCCAUCCAAAAAAAGGGAACAUCUGUAUCCCAUUUUCACUGGCACCACAAGAUACCUGGCGUAGCCCCAGAACUGUAUGUUUAGCUACAAGGGUUUAAAAUAUGCAGUAAUUUGCUGUUGUGUUAUCUUCUGGUAUUCUCUGCUUUGGAAAAAAUACUUUAUUAAUGGAGUCCUCCCACUGUCUAUUGGCUUUGCUCUAGCCCAGAAUAAAAUGAAUCAAGUUAGAU